UGCUAUACAUGCAAGUCGAACGAACUCUGGUAUUGAUUGGUGCUUGCAUCAUGAUUUACAUUUGAGUGAGUGGCGAACUGGUGAGUAACACGUGGGAAACCUGCCCAGAAGCGGGGGAUAACACCUGGAAACAGAUGCUAAUACCGCAUAACAACUUGGACCGCAUGGUCCGAGUUUGAAAGAUGGCUUCGGCUAUCACUUUUGGAUGGUCCCGCGGCGUAUUAGCUAGAUGGUGGGGUAACGGCUCACCAUGGCAAUGAUACGUAGCCGACCUGAGAGGGUAAUCGGCCACAUUGGGACUGAGACACGGCCCAAACUCCUACGGGAGGCAGCAGUAGGGAAUCUUCCACAAUGGACGAAAGUCUGAUGGAGCAACGCCGCGUGAGUGAAGAAGGGUUUCGGCUCGUAAAACUCUGUUGUUAAAGAAGAACAUAUCUGAGAGUAACUGUUCAGGUAUUGACGGUAUUUAACCAGAAAGCCACGGCUAACUACGUGCCAGCAGCCGCGGUAAUACGUAGGUGGCAAGCGUUGUCCGGAUUUAUUGGGCGUAAAGCGAGCGCAGGCGGUUUUUUAAGUCUGAUGUGAAAGCCUUCGGCUCAACCGAAGAAGUGCAUCGGAAACUGGGAAACUUGAGUGCAGAAGAGGACAGUGGAACUCCAUGUGUAGCGGUGAAAUGCGUAGAUAUAUGGAAGAACACCAGUGGCGAAGGCGGCUGUCUGGUCUGUAACUGACGCUGAGGCUCGAAAGUAUGGGUAGCAAACAGGAUUAGAUACCCUGGUAGUCCAUACCGUAAACGAUGAAUGCUAAGUGUUGGAGGGUUUCCGCCCUUCAGUGCUGCAGCUAACGCAUUAAGCAUUCCGCCUGGGGAGUACGGCCGCAAGGCUGAAACUCAAAGGAAUUGACGGGGGCCCGCACAAGCGGUGGAGCAUGUGGUUUAAUUCGAAGCUACGCGAAGAACCUUACCAGGUCUUGACAUACUAUGCAAAUCUAAGAGAUUAGACGUUCCCUUCGGGGACAUGGAUACAGGUGGUGCAUGGUUGUCGUCAGCUCGUGUCGUGAGAUGUUGGGUUAAGUCCCGCAACGAGCGCAACCCUUAUUAUCAGUUGCCAGCAUUAAGUUGGGCACUCUGGUGAGACUGCCGGUGACAAACCGGAGGAAGGUGGGGAUGACGUCAAAUCAUCAUGCCCCUUAUGACCUGGGCUACACACGUGCUACAAUGGAUGGUACAACGAGUUGCGAACUCGCGAGAGUAAGCUAAUCUCUUAAAGCCAUUCUCAGUUCGGAUUGUAGGCUGCAACUCGCCUACAUGAAGUCGGAAUCGCUAGUAAUCGCGGAUCAGCAUGCCGCGGUGAAUACGUUCCCGGGCCUUGUACACACCGCCCGUCACACCAUGAGAGUUUGUAACACCCAAAGUCGGUGGGGUAACCUUUUAGGAACCAGCCGCCUAAGGUGAC
Molecule: ribosomal RNA, 1454 nt
Filed under: Lactiplantibacillus plantarum
Lineage: Bacteria; Bacillati; Bacillota; Bacilli; Lactobacillales; Lactobacillaceae
Description: bacterial SSU rRNA
Rfam family: Bacterial small subunit ribosomal RNA
Source: RNAcentral